UCGAGAAUAGUCUACAAUGGUCGGAAGACUGAUAGUGCGACGCCGCGUGAACGAGGAAGCCCUUCGGGGUGUAAAGUUCUUUUAUAUGUGAGCAGUGGGUUCUACGUUAAUAGCGUGGGAUCAGGGAUAUUAGCAUAUGAAUAAGCAACGGCUAACUCCGUGCCAGCAGCCGCGGUAACACGGGGGUUGCGAGCGUUGUCCGGAAUUACUAGGCGUAAAGGGCAGGUAGGCGGAUCUAUAAGUUUUUUGUCAAAUUCAACGGCUCACCCGUUGCUCGGCAGGAGAUACUGUAGAUCUGGAAUGCGGUUGGGGAAGACAGAAUUCCUGGUGUAGCGGUGGAAUGCGCAGAGAUCAGGAGGAAUACCUAAGGCGAAGGCAGUCUUCUAAGCCGUAAUUGACGCUAAACUGCGAAGGUGUGGGUAUCAAACAGG
Molecule: ribosomal RNA, 431 nt
Filed under: uncultured bacterium
Lineage: Bacteria
Description: bacterial SSU rRNA
Rfam family: Bacterial small subunit ribosomal RNA
Source: RNAcentral